Molecule: long non-coding RNA, 638 nt
Organism: Canis lupus familiaris (dog)
Lineage: Eukaryota; Metazoa; Chordata; Mammalia; Carnivora; Canidae
Exons: 3
Source: RefSeq, a predicted model, not a curated record
AUGACAUUUCACUUUUUAAUACUUUUUUCAUGUUCAAGGGUUUUCUUAUUCUGACAUUAUGUCUUUCUGUAAACUAAAUGUUUACAUUCUGUUGUAAACAUGGUGAUUUUUUUAAGUCCUUACUUGGCAAGACUGUUGAAAUCAUCAGCCUGACUUCUCCCUCUUUCUUCUUCCUCCUUUUCUUCCUCCUCCUGCUCUUCCUUCUUCUUUUUAUAGGGAAAGCUCAAGCAGGGAGUUGGAAGUGGAAGGUCUUCAGAAGCUGUCACCUUCAUUCCUGGUGCCCAUUUAUUUCUGCCAACACUUCGAAAGAUGGAUUUAGGGAUCCUCCUGUGCACCACCUUCCUGAAGUUCCUAAAGGUGAAGUAUGCCCAUGAAAAUUUUCAAGCAACUGCUCCAUAUCCACAAAAUUUAGAAUUGCCAAGACCCCUGCAAGCAAAAAGGCCAGGUGUAUAUUUUUAGUGCAACUCAUCUGACCUGGAAGAAAAAGGUAAACCCCAGAACAGAACACAGAGUCAUCAGUUCAAGAUCGCUGAGGUACCAGGCAAUUCUUCCAGUUUGUCUCUUGUGGACUUAAUGUCUAUGGAAAAUUGACUAUGAAGAGGUUGGCUGGUGGUAAAUAAAGUUUGAGAUUAUAUUAA